Long non-coding RNA from Ipomoea nil (Japanese morning glory), 132 nucleotides. RefSeq lists it as uncharacterized. The record is from RefSeq and is a predicted model, not a curated record. The transcript has 3 exons. NCBI's taxonomy places the organism in Eukaryota, Viridiplantae, Streptophyta, Magnoliopsida, Solanales, Convolvulaceae.
GUUUUCCGACUACAAUGAAGAGAAGGGACCGUCAUCGUUCGGCGGUGAUGAGGAAACCACGAGUUCUUGCGGGUUCUUGGACUUGAAUAUCUCCAUUAAUGACGAUCAUGAAAGGUCAGUUGAAGAAGAUGA